GUGGGGAAUCUUGCGCAAUGGGCGAAAGCCUGACGCAGCCAUGCCGCGUGAAUGAUGAAGGUCUUAGGAUUGUAAAAUUCUUUCACCGGGGACGAUAAUGACGGUACCCGGAGAAGAAGCUCCGGCUAACUUCGUGCCAGCAGCCGCGGUAAUACGAAGGGGGCUAGCGUUGCUCGGAAUUACUGGGCGUAAAGGGCGCGUAGGCGGACAGCUUAGUCAGAGGUGAAAGCUCAGGGCUCAACCUUGGAAUUGCCUUUGAUACUGGCUGUCUUGAGUUUGGGAGAGGUGAGUGGAACUCCGAGUGUAGAGGUGAAAUUCGUAGAUAUUCGGAAGAACACCAGUGGCGAAGGCGACUCACUGGCCCAAUACUGACGCUGAGGCGCGAAAGCGUGGGGAGCAAACAGGAUUAGAAACCCCGGUAGUCC
Molecule: ribosomal RNA, 425 nt
Filed under: uncultured bacterium
Lineage: Bacteria
Description: partial 16S ribosomal RNA
Rfam family: Bacterial small subunit ribosomal RNA
Source: RNAcentral